GUACGGCGGUGAAGCCCUGUGGCGUUCGGGCGGCGUCGAUGCGUCGGUGAGACUUCGCUCUGCGAGUCCUGCUGCAGCUUGCUCUGCGCUCCUUGUCCGGAACGGGAGGAAGCUGAGCCGCAAACACACCUGUGUGUUUCCCUUAUGCGGUGCGGUCAUCGGGCUAACCCAUCGCAUCAACCCAUCGUGCCCAUCGCACCGACCCAUCGUGCUGAUCCGUUGGGUUGACCCACCGGGCUUACAGGGCAUUUAGCAGAAGGCAAACACCCUGAUAACCUUUCCUGGGACGUUUGUGGGAGUCUUCCCAGAGCCAAAAGAAAGGCAAGAGUAUCGCCCUUGGACUGGAGCAAAACCAUCCAAGCCCAUAAAGACAAAGCAAGGCUUCAUUAUCCCAGAUGACCAUUUUGUUCAGGAGACAAGUUACAAGGCAGACUAUAAGCAGAUCCCGGAGGUGAAGACCAGGUUCUCCCCCAAUCCUUCUGCUGUUUUCCAGGCGCCGUCGCGGAUCCUCAACGUGUGACGCAGGGCCUUCCUCGCACCGGGCAGCGGCACGGCGCUGCUUCCGACUGGAUGCGUCACUAUGCAAUUUGCACGAGGAGCGCUGGGAUCAGAGAACCGACGUCAGCAGGAGCGGCUCCAGCGAUCGGGGAUGGGCACUGUCCUUCUGUGAGUGCGCAGAUUGUAAAGCGCUCCAUUCAGAGCCGGCAAAGCACGCGGCAAGGCGUGACCCGGUUCCUUAGGGAGCGGGUUCCUCGCCGUGCCAGCCGGCGGCACGAUGGGAGGCUGACGGGGCAGCACAGCCAGCAAGGCGUGCAGCAACCCUCUGCUCUGCUGUGUGCAGCGGGAGGGAGAAGUCACAAACAGGAGCAAGAACUAAAACCAAACCCCAGAGCAGCGCGGGGCAGGGAGCACCUGCCUGACUUCUCAGCUCGUGGAGCUGCCUCCUGCACACACCUCGGCACCGGACCCCAGCACAAGGAGGGCUGUUCUGAACCCCCGGGGUUGCUGGAACCGCUGGCAGCUCCGCACUGCUGUGCUGGGGGGCUGUGUGUGCAGGGCAGCUGUGUGUGCAGGGCAGUGAGCGCACUGAGCUUCGGUGGGUGUAGAAUACUUGUGGGGUGGAUGUAAAUAUUGCACCUGGAUUUUACCUAAAGCAGUUUGUGAUCCUUUAAGGAAGAGGACGUGCUUCUACUUUUAAUAAAUGUUAACUCUUUGCAUAUGCAAGGUAGAAAGUUUUGCCUUGAAAUGCCUACGUUUCUGCCUGCCUAUUGGUGAUGUUAAUCUUAGUGCUAGGAGCAACCAGAAGUGAAUGUUACUUAGAAACUCUUCUUAAAGAAAAAUGUUAGCAUAGAAUGUAUGACAUCCCUCAUUGCUAAGAUAGGCCGUUUUCAGUGGCAUUACUCUAAAGCUCAUUUUUUUAGGUCAGUGUGGAUCUAGCUUUUGCUGAGAUAUUGGAGGUGUGUUUUAAGAAACCAUCCUUUUUAGCCUCUGUUCAUCCAGACCCCCAUGGUUUUAGUUGCUAUCUCAGAGACUUACUGCAAUAUGACGAGUCUGCUCCUUAGUUCCUGUUUUUACCGAUUAUUUUGGAAAAAAGGAUGCAAAACUUUUCCUUUCUACAUUCAAAAGAUACCAAUACGUUGGCUAAAAUGAAAGGCAACGCCUCAGACAGAAUGAUGAGAAAGGCAUUAAUCUGUGAGCACACGGGCUCAUUACAGGGAUUCUCUCUUCACGUUCCCCCAGCUGAGGCCAAUGGCAGAUUUAAUGAGGUCUGAGGACUCUGCAAACAUGCAACAGGUGCUGGUAACUGAUAAGAAGAGCACUGGAAGCAUUAGAGUGUGGAUGUUACACAGGAUUCAUGCAGAAAGCAUCUUCUCAGUGCAUUAGGUGAGAAUCUGGCUUUCCUGGCAGCAGUGAAAGUGAAGAGGUUGGUGUUGGCCUCUAGCCCUUGUUUUUGGGCCUCAGGAUGUACAGUAACAGCAGUGCUUGCCGAAACCAUUUUUCAGGAGGCUCAUUUUUUCAAGAAAUUGCACUCAAAGCAUUCAAACUCAGCUAAAGGUUUUGCAUGGCACGUUUCUAAGAAGAAGUGAAUCUGCUCGAUUAAUCUCUUUGUAACGUUUUCAACUGUUUUGUUGUUUUGUUCAGUUUUGGUUCAUUUCAAUCUUGGAUUUUAUUAUCAGAAAAAGUAAAAAAAAAAAAAAAAAAAUUGCCUAUCCCAUCUAUCUUGUUAAUUCACCUAUUUCUAAAAACAUCAACCUGGUUGUAAACCAGAAUAUAAUGAGCUUGUAUUUUAUCAAAGGGACUGGAUUUAAUUUAAUAAAUUAAGACAUAUUUUGGCUA
This is a non-coding RNA of Meleagris gallopavo (turkey), 2337 nucleotides long. NCBI's taxonomy places the organism in Eukaryota, Metazoa, Chordata, Aves, Galliformes, Phasianidae. The record is from RefSeq and is a predicted model, not a curated record.